AGUCUGAUGACAUCUAUGGAAAACAAUUUUAUUUGCUUUUAGAAGAGCACUUGAAUAGUUCGGAUUCCUGCCCAAGGUUGCUGGCCUCCAUGCCUAACAAUCUGAUCAAAUGGAAACUUCCAUGCAGUGGGGAAGCUGCUGUAAAAGGGGUGAUCUUUCUGAACAAUGAAUCUGCCAUGCUGAGCCCAGGAGCCUUCGAGCCUCCCACUGCUAAGGACGAGGCCUGGAUGCUCUACAAUGUAACAUCUUAGUUCCACCAGUCCUGGCCACAAUCAAGACUCAGUUCAGGGGUGUCAGACCCCAAGCAAUUCCUGCCUCAGGGCCUUAGCACCGGCUGCUGCUUCUGUUCCCAACGCUGAAGCUGCCUGCCUGCGCACCUGCACCUUGCUGCUGUCACCUACUUAGAACACACCACCCUGGAGAGUGGCCUCCAUCCCAGAGGAGAGCACAGCCUCCAGAGGCCAGAAGAUGCCUACCCAGCACAUUGUCAGUGUAUUCCAGUGCUUCAUGGUCUCCGGCUCCCACCUCUAGCUUGUGACAAGACUAAUCCCCGGGAAACACGAUUCCACCCUCUUCUCGUCUGGACCCCAGAAAGCCAGUUGCCCCAGGGAAAAACAACUUACACUUCUGUGGUGAUGAAUCCGGUGAGCUCUGACAGGAAGAGGAAGAGGAUGAAGAGGCAGCAGCAGAUGGAGACUGUGGAAACACGGAGUCAGCGUUAAGGGUGCAGGAUGCUCCAGGUAGGAGGCCAGUCCUCCAUGCCCCUCCCACCACAGGGGCGGAAAACUGCUUAGAGGUCCCGGCAUGCACACAGGGUGAGGAUACCUUCCCAGAGACCAUCAAAGCCCCCUCUUACUCAUGACUUAAGUGUGUCCCCUUUUAACUUGUGGCCUCAGUAUAAGUCCCCCAGAAAGUCGCCAUUGACCUGACUCUGAGGUCAGGGUGGGCCUCAGAACACAGGCAACAGACUCUGCUAGGCUCCUAAAGAUCUCUUUGUAUGCUGGUGCACCACGAGGGACUCUGUCCACAGUGAACAUCUGGGAGAUACCGUGUGACUAUCUGGAUUCCUGGCUUCUGUGAAACACAUGGCCCCUGUCCCACAGCCUGCCACUGUCUGUCCCUCUGUCUACAGCCAGUGCCCACCUGGGCAUUGUUCGAUGUGAUAACGGUGAGGGCGGAAUCAGCAGAAGCCAUAUGGCGGUUUGGGCUCGCUUCCCAGGUUACUGAUAUGCACAGCCCUGCCCUGAUGCUAGUCAGGGGUAGUGGGUCACCGCACCUGUCAACCAGCAGUCACCAGAGGGGCAGCUAACACACCAGAGAAGCUGCCAGGCUGAGCUGAGGUGUGCCAUAGACUGGAAUUGGCCAUUUCUAUUUAUGUUACUUUGAAAUUACAGCAGGACUGCUGGGACACAAAUCGGCAUGUCACAGUAGAGACGCAACUCUGUCCAUGUCCAUCUGUGUGUUUGCCACCUACCUAACUUCCUAUCUGUCUUCAGGAAGGACCAGUGUUUACUGAGCACUUAUUACAUGCCCAUGAUGAUGCAUUAACAAACCACUCCAUCAUGACACCAUGGCACCAGCCUGAUGGGAGCUCUGGUGUAAAAAUGCAGGCUGAGGGAGAAGGGACUGGGUCCCCUUAUCCUCUACGGUCAAGGCAUCCAGAAAGACUCUGAGAACUUGGUCUUCAAGGGAAAGAAGGAACACAGAGACGGGGACUGGAAUACUUUGAACAUCUGCCCCACUUCGAAGAAGCUGUAUGGGGUAUGACAUUUAAAGGCCUUACUUUGGGGUAAAAUAGGGAAUAUGUACAUAUUAUAAACAAGAAAAAAAGUUAUAACUAGGCACACAAGCACAUUAAAAAUGUUAAUAUACAUAAACAUCACACCAAUAAAUUAUGUUAUAUGUAUUAUAUAACACAUACACACACACACACACACACACACACACACACACACACGUAUAUGUUGGCAGGCCUGGUGACACACAUCUAAAAGCCCAGCAUUCAGGAGCAGAAGAACUCAGGUGAGAAGGACUGCCCAAAUUUCAAGGCUGGCCUAGACUACACAGCAAGUUCCAGGCUAGCCAGGACAGUCUCUCAGAAGCAAAACAAAAAGUAUAUAUCCACAUACAUAGAUGCAGACGUACCUAAUGCAGAUAUGUGUACUUUGAGCCCCUGUUCACUUAAGCCAAUACCCUCUUUCUGCCAUGCUUCAAACACUCAGCAAUCUGUAAACAGGUCCCAGCUCACACAGUGGCCUUGUUUUGCAUGGAGAUUAAGUUCAAAUAUCCUUUCCAGCUGUGGAAUGAGUCCCCAGAGUGGCUCAGCUACUGAUCCAGGUCCUGGCUCCUGGUCUCUCUGCCCUACAAUGGUGGUUACUGCCUCUUGGGAAAGACCCUGCCAGCAGGCACAGCAUCCUGCAGCUGUGCCCUUCUGUCCAGUGCCACCCAGGCAUCAUUUUGUCCACACCAGCCCAAGUGGAUGCUGCACUAUAUGACACAAGGAGGGUUUCCGAAGGUCAUUGCUCAUUUUAGGAUGAAUGUUGGUCCUCUAGCUGCCCUCCCUGCUCCAUGCCUGCGGAUACACCCCAAGACUUACUCAAGACUUGGUCCAAAGCCUGGUUAACCCAGCAGGUAGACAGGACCCAUGUACUUCACUGUGUAAGUGCACCUAAAUCCUGUCUCAGACUGGGGAGCCAGAGGUGAGGUCUGGGUACCACUGUAACCUCAGUGCCCAACACGGUGUUGGCUCAGAGAAGGCACAGUUAGAAACCAUGAAAGCAGGUAGCAAGUAUUCCAACCAAGGCCUUCAGAUCACAAAGGCUGGAUGAGGGCUUUCAAUCCAUGUUUGGGCAAGGCUUGGAGGCUCUCUGACUCCAGACUUCUAAAACUGACUCAGGCCCUGGGCAGUAGGAAUGUAACCCCAGGAGAUGCUUGCUAGUAAGAAGCCGGGUGCUGCCAAGUUGAAGGGGGCAAGACCUGAGACCUUACAGCCUGCAAGAAAGUCAAGGAGUCUGUCCAAGGUCACAUAGCCGGGUAAGGGAGGAGGCAAAAUCCAAAGGCUGACGUUCAAGCCCCAGAAUUUUGCUGUCUCCUUCAGCUAUUAAUAGCAGUCGUCCCACAGCGUAAUGCAAUGGUGCAGGCCUGAGCUGGCCUGCCAGGCUCGGCUGUAUGAGCCUCAAGGACGAGGACCGAAGCCCAUUCAUCAGCACUGUCCCAGCACUUGGCACAGGGCCUGGCCCUAGGUCCAGCUUAAUAAAUAUUUGUGCACUAAAUGGUAGCUAGGGGCUGGCUUCCCAUGUCUCAGACCUUCCCCUCGUGUGGUGAAAUGCUCAUCAUACCACGUUCCUGAGAGCUGCCAGGCAGAACUUUCUAAACAGUUGAAAAUGUA
Molecule: long non-coding RNA, 3388 nt
Organism: Mesocricetus auratus (golden hamster)
Lineage: Eukaryota; Metazoa; Chordata; Mammalia; Rodentia; Cricetidae
Exons: 4
Source: RefSeq, a predicted model, not a curated record